GACCACGUAGCUCAGUUGGAAGAGCAUUGGGCUAGUACUCCAAAGGUCGUAGGUUCGAAUCCCACCGUGGCCA
This 73-nucleotide transfer RNA is filed under the name Paramuricea clavata. It matches the Rfam family "tRNA". Rfam says of the family: Transfer RNA (tRNA) molecules are approximately 80 nucleotides in length. Their secondary structure includes four short double-helical elements and three loops (D, anti-codon, and T loops). Lineage: Eukaryota; Metazoa; Cnidaria; Anthozoa; Malacalcyonacea; Plexauridae. The record is from Rfam by way of RNAcentral.